This 96-nucleotide microRNA precursor is filed under the name Chlorocebus sabaeus (green monkey). RNAcentral's name for it is "miRNA (ENSCSAG00000025281.1)". Lineage: Eukaryota; Metazoa; Chordata; Mammalia; Primates; Cercopithecidae. The record is from RNAcentral.
UAUCUUUAUAUGUAAUAUUAGGUUGGUGCAAAAGUAAUUGCAGUUUUGGCCAUUAAAUAGGCAAAACUGCAGUUAUUUUUGCACCAAACUAACAUA